This 422-nucleotide ribosomal RNA is filed under the name uncultured bacterium. RNAcentral's name for it is "bacterial SSU rRNA". It matches the Rfam family "Bacterial small subunit ribosomal RNA", at positions 355 to 774 of the family's 1533-position model. The record is from RNAcentral.
UGAGGAAUAUUGGACAAUGGAGGCAACUCUGAUCCAGCCAUGCCGCGUGAAGGAAUAAGGCCCUAUGGGUUGUAAACUUCUUUUAGACGGGACAAAACCCCUUUACGUGUAAAGGGUUGAUGGUACUGUCAGAAUAAGCAUCGGCUAACUUCGUGCCAGCAGCCGCGGUAAUACGAAGGAUGCAAGCGUUAUCCGGAAUUAUUGGGUUUAAAGGGUGCGUAGGCGGACUAAUAAGUCAGUGGUGAAAUCUCCGAGCUUAACUUGGAAACUGCCGUUGAUACUAUAGGUCUUGAAUUAUCUGGAGGUAAGCGGAAUAUGUCAUGUAACGGUGAAAUGCUUAGAUAUGACAUAGAACACCAAUUGCGAAGGCAGCUUACUACAUAUAAAUUGACGCUGAGGCACGAAAGCGUGGGGAUCAAACA